Amphimedon queenslandica is the source of this 719-nucleotide long non-coding RNA. RefSeq lists it as uncharacterized. The transcript has 4 exons. NCBI's taxonomy places the organism in Eukaryota, Metazoa, Porifera, Demospongiae, Haplosclerida, Niphatidae. The record is from RefSeq and is a predicted model, not a curated record.
UGGUUUUGGCAAUGUACUUUAUUAUUUUCUUUUGUAAAGUCGAGUUUUAGCUAAAACCCUUGCAGUGGAAUCAUUCAUUAAAUGAUGUGUCUUGUCUGUACUACGGACUGAGCUGCAAAUUUCUACAACUGUAAAGAUACAUUAUUACUACAAGUUGAUAAUAUCAUCCAUUGCUGAAGAGCACUCAGAUCUGUGAAAAAAAGCUCGAAUAUAGGUGGUGCACGAUUAUCAGUGGCUCACUCUACAGGGCGUGCUCAAUUGAGGCCACACACACCACAUGAAAUUAAUUCUCUUAUUUCAUUAUUUCAUAUGAUCAUAUCAUCUCACUGGUAGGUAAGGAUGGGACUGGAUUCUUGAAACUAGCUCCUAAUUAGGUGACAGAACUUAGUAAAGAACUGUGUACUGGUACUUUGUCUCUCAAGACAGCCCCUCCCCUUUUUGACAUUUGGACUACACUUUACUGACUAUAUACCCUCAAAUUAUAAAAUGAUGUGUUCUUGAUGAUGAUUGUAAUACCAUCAUGUCCGUCUCAUGGUCUGUGAAAAGGAUACAUGUACAUCUGCUUCAUUGUAGUUAACUUAUUAAUUUGCUAACUUGAUUCAUACACUUUACUAAUCCAUGAAAACUGUACCUAAGCAGUGGCACACACAAUUAUAAGGAAAAGUGAUAGAAAAACAGGAAACAUUUCCUGUAUUUUAGAAUGUACAUAUAGAAUUUUU